AUAAUGCACAAACGUGUGGUGGAGUCAAUAUGUGUGUUUGAAAUGUAUUUCCCGCCUGCUUUUUUUGUUAGUAUGACUCAUGUUGUCGUACACUUGGCAGAAGAGGCACAUAAAUUGGGGUAUGUUCAGUUUAGGUGGAUGUACCCUUACGAGAGGAUGAUGAGGUACUACAAGGUUCUUGGUCGCAAUAAAAAAUUAUGUAGAAGGCUCAAUUACAAAACAAUAUGAAGUCGAUGAAGGAGCGCGCCAUUGCGUCGAGAUACUUCCUGAAGCGAGGAGAAAGUCUUUUAAGUGUCGUGGAAAGAUGCCAAUGCCCAGUGAUGUUUAUGAAGGCCCACACCCACCUGAUUCACAAGGAAAACCAUUUCUGCUCACCACCGUAGAGUAUGAACAAGUUAGUUUGUGGAUAUUGAGACAUUCGGAUGAAAAUACUGAAUGGGAAGCGAAGUACCAGACAUAUAUUUGUAAUUUGAACCAAAAUCGUAUGGGAAGGAUAAAACCUACAGACUACAUUGAAUGGCUGCAGAAACAACUUGAAGGCACUCCCAUGACAGAUUUUCGUAGGCUGGCAAUUGGUCCUACUUUUGCUACAUUUUCGUACAACUCAUAUUUUGUUAAUGGCUAUCUUUUUUACACA
Long non-coding RNA from Papaver somniferum (opium poppy), 637 nucleotides. RefSeq lists it as uncharacterized. The record is from RefSeq and is a predicted model, not a curated record. NCBI's taxonomy places the organism in Eukaryota, Viridiplantae, Streptophyta, Magnoliopsida, Ranunculales, Papaveraceae. The transcript is spliced from 3 exons.